CAGGUGCUGGGCUGAGGUCUGGGGAGCAAGUGUCUCGAGGGCUGACUGAGAAUGAAGCAAGCAAUAAUCGUGGAGGACGGGACAUGCCAGGCUCUCUGCAGGCUUACAACCUGGCGUGGGUCCUUGUGUGAAGUGGGUCAGUCCAGCAAACGAACCCUGUGUUUGACUGCCCGGAUCGGGUGCCUCAGACUGUUGUGGUGCUGACAGAUUGAUGAAGACAGACGCUCUGACAUAAAGAGCCUUGGGCGUAGGAGGACCAAGAGAACCUAAUGCAUGAAGCUGCUCAUGGCUGUUCCUUCACCAUGAAAAGCAAAAACAAACGUCCCUCCUUCCUUUUCAUCCCAUUAAUUUCAGAGCAGCUGAUAGCAAACCCCAACUCCAGGAGUAACGCCAGUAGGCAGGGACCCAAGUUGCUCCAGUGAGAAUCAUCCCGGGACUUUUGAUGGUUUAGAGCAUGCAGCUACCUGAAGGGUACACUCUGGGCCCUUAGAAUACCCCCCUCAAAAAACAACCAACCAACCUCACAGCCCACUUCUUUGAUGCCUCAGGUUAUAGAGUCAGAAUUUAGUUUCUUCGAUGUAAGAUUUUGGUUAAGAUACAGAAACUUCUCUCUGGAGAAUGACAGGGAGCCUUGUUAAAUCAUUCAGACCUGAGUAUGAACAAGCAUCAGCUUUUCACUGGACAGGAGGGUCUGGUUAGGGGACAGAGCACAGAGGCCUUGAGGGAAGGUAACAUGAUGGGCGGAAAGGAGAAGAAUGGAGAAACAAAGUCCACCUUUGCUGCCUUCCCAUGUUCAGCUGUCUCCUGACUGUGGCUUGGGGGCAGGCCUCUGCUUGUCUCUCCAGAGCUGCCCCUGAAGCCAGUAUGCCACCUCUGCCCUGAUGCAGUCUGGGGACAGCAGGCCACCGGCUCACCUGCUUUCAGCCUCUGAUGUGGCUGAGAUGACAUCCCCACUACCUGUGGCCUUGUGCCUGGCCCAGACUGCACUCUGCCACCCAACCCUGCUCCUCACCUGCUACACCUGGCCUUGCUUGCGCUUGAUCCGGACCAGUAAAGACAAAGGGCCAUGUGGGCUGGGGGAAGGCGGGGGUGAAGCCCAGACGCUGAGGCUGGAAACAGUAGGCACAUGCAGGUUCUGGAAGGACAUGGUCCUGAUGGGGAAGGUCCACAGCCCAGGGGGUCCUGACUCCAUGCCCUGAGUUCUGGCUCCCACGAAUCUCUCUCUUCCAAAUACGUGCCAAGGUCCCGCCCUGGCUUAGAGUCUAGCAUGGUAAGCAUUUGCGGGUUUUGCCAGUCAGCAUUUGUAUUGUAGUACCCGAAUUUUCUUUUGAGGAACAAUCCCUCCUUCAUUCUUAGUCUGUAUGAUUUUAGGAGGGCUCAUCUUAUCCCAGACUCCUGGAGUUACCAGUCAGUAUAGUCCAGCCAUGGGCAUGUGACCCAAGAUGGUCCAGUGAGAAUCAGUUGGGGACUUUUGGUGGAACCACCAGAAAGAGAAGUGCUCUUUCUACAGGGCCUGCUAACUCAUAAACUGUAAGCCCCAACUUGCUAGGAAGUAUCUUUGCACAUUCCCAUCACCAUUUGGGGAAAGCCUAUAUAAGAAUGAAGUCACCAGAGAGGAAAGCAAAGCUGAGAGCUAGAGAGACAUAUGAUUUGGUCACCUAGAUCCAGCCAUGCCUGAAACCAUUACCCCUGACGUUUUCAGUUAUGUGAGUCAAUAAAUUUCCUCUUUUUUCUUAAACCA
Molecule: long non-coding RNA, 1741 nt
Organism: Lagenorhynchus albirostris (white-beaked dolphin)
Lineage: Eukaryota; Metazoa; Chordata; Mammalia; Artiodactyla; Delphinidae
Exons: 2
Source: RefSeq, a predicted model, not a curated record